RNA transcript from Saccostrea cuccullata (small rock oyster), 496 nucleotides. RefSeq lists it as uncharacterized. The transcript is spliced from 4 exons. The record is from RefSeq and is a predicted model, not a curated record. Lineage: Eukaryota; Metazoa; Mollusca; Bivalvia; Ostreida; Ostreidae.
AGCGGUGGAAAAUAUGGACAAGAUUGUGAAGAGAGUUGUGGCGCUUGUUUGGGAUACAAACAAUGUCACCACGUCAAUGGAUCUUGUUCGGAAGGUUGUGACGCUGGGUUUGAAGGAAUUCUUUGUAGAACAGAGUGUUCACUUGGACGAUUCGGAACAAACUGUGAAGGAUUCUGCAGUAAAAAUUGUGGAGUGUCUAAUAUAUGCAACAAAACGACCGGAGAAUGUGAGAAAGGAUGUCAACCGGGCUGGAUUGGACUUCAAUGUACUAAAGAGUGUGAUGGAAGUAAAUUUGGACAGGAUUGUGGACAGAGUUGUGGAGCCUGCCUUAAUUAUAUAAAAUGUCAUUUCAUCAAUGGUUCAUGUCCGAAAGGUUGUGCCGCGGGAUUCAAAGGAGAACUCUGUAAAACAAGUUGUCCUGAAGGCACAUUUGGAAUCAACUGUAAACAAAAUUGCAAUGAACACUGUAGUAUACCUUAUCGGUGUAACAGAGGGA